This 1385-nucleotide long non-coding RNA is filed under the name Cricetulus griseus (Chinese hamster). Its description in RNAcentral is "lncRNA (ENSCGRG00015033011.1)". Lineage: Eukaryota; Metazoa; Chordata; Mammalia; Rodentia; Cricetidae. The record is from RNAcentral.
GGUGGGGGGAGUAGUUUUGGCUGGGAGGGUGAAGCAGACAGGGCCAGGUAAGACAGAGCCAGGCAUUGGUUUCAGAGGUCUGCCUGACAGGACCAGGAGAGGGAAUCAGAGCUGAGGCUAGAGCUGGAGGGACCUGUCCAGGAUUGGCCCUCGGGAGGCUGUGAUGGAGGGGAGCCUGCUGAUGGCAAGGAACAAGGGCAGAACCAGCAGUGCCAGGAUAAAGCUCUGGGACUCUUAGGUGUUUAUGAAAAAAAAUGCACAAUAUCCCGACUGACCGGAAUAAUUGAUGAAGAAGGGUGCUGGAUCCGUGGGUCAGAGAACACACAGGACCAGCUUGCCACCCCAAGGCCGAAGUCUGGUGUCUCGGAUUUGGCUCUUCGUUGCCCACUCCUGCUGCAUCUUGUCCAGCCGAGGGACAAAACACCCUGCCACUUCUCUGAAGAACAGGAAGAAAAGAAGUCAUGGAGGCAGAUUCCAGCACAGCCAGAGACUGAGAUGUUGAGCUCAGAGGGAGCAGGGAUCACCAAGGCACAUGCUGCCUGAAGCCCCAGGAAAGCUGGACAAGAGGCACAUUGGCCCAAGUGGUACAAGUACUAACAGUGACAUGCCAUGGACAUAGUACAGGCUGCCCAUCCAAGACCCACCAAAUGGAGGAUAGCACAGCAGAGUCUUUCUCACUUUGUAAAACCUGGCACAAGGACAGAGAAGCCGGAGCAGCAGCGUGUAUCCCAGAACUGCUAGAAAAAGCCAGAGAGGAUGACAUAUUGACUUGUGAUCAAUUGCACCAAUAGGUACUGUGAGAAGAGGCCUCACCUCCUUCAAUCCCAUUGCAUCUGGAUGCCAUUCUUCACUGUAAGCCUGAAGUCCUGCCUCAGCUGCCAACAUCCUGCUUAACAUUGCUUAUGAGGAAGUGCCCAUUUUCUCCUCCAUAUUCUGGAUUCACUCGUUAUGCAUAGCACUGGGUCAAUUUAGAUAGAAGCACCCUGAGACAUUCCUACUUCUCAGAAGCUGCCAAAUGUAUGUCACACCUGUGUCGCGUAUAACCUGGGGUCCACUUCUGACAGAUGCUGCCUCCUUGAUCAGUGAUUCUUUCCCUCAGCAAUGUGGUACCAUUCUCCCCUGCCUCAUGCAUCCCAGUUGUGACUUUGUCAGCUCCUGGUGUUUGGAUUGCAUGAAGAUGGAGAAGGAAUGGUUGGAGGAAAAACCUUAGUCUGCUUGGAGGCUGGAGCCUGGCUCCAACCUAGGCAGAAGGUCCCCAACCCCCAGCUCAUGUUCUGCCUUGUCCUCUUCCCACGACUUAGUCUUACCUUUUAUGUCUGUCCUAUCCAGGACAGUUGUACUUUAGUUUUUUCAAUUAAACAAAAUUUGGUUACUUUUUAUUAUUG